CCUACGGGAGGCAGCAGUGAGGAAUAUUGGUCAAUGGGCGCGAGCCUGAACCAGCCAAGUAGCGUGAAGGAUGACUGCCCUACGGGUUGUAAACUUCGUUUAUAAAGGAAUAAAGUGAGGCACGUGGGCCUUUUUGUAUGUAUUUUAUGAAUAAGGAACGGCUAACUCCGUGCCAGCAGCCGUGGUAAUACGGAGGAUUCGAGCGUUAACCGGAUUAAUUGGGUUUAAAGGGAGCGUAGAUGGGGUGUUAAGUCAGUUGUGAAAGUUUGCGGCGCAACCGUAAAAUUGCAAUUGAUACUGGCAGCCUUGAGUGCAGGUGAGGUAGGCGGAAUUCGUGGUGUAGCGGUGAAAUGCUUAGAUAUCACGAAGAACUCCGAUUGCGAAGGCAGCCUACUAAACUGCCACUGACAUUGAUGCUCGAAAGUGUGGGUAUCAAACAGGAUUAGAUACCCCUGUAGUC
RNAcentral lists this ribosomal RNA (460 nucleotides) under uncultured bacterium. RNAcentral describes it as "partial 16S ribosomal RNA". It matches the Rfam family "Bacterial small subunit ribosomal RNA", at positions 338 to 795 of the family's 1533-position model. The record is from RNAcentral.